RNAcentral lists this long non-coding RNA (669 nucleotides) under Panax ginseng (ginseng). Its description in RNAcentral is "long non-coding RNA (PGIN_LNC011941)". The record is from RNAcentral. Lineage: Eukaryota; Viridiplantae; Streptophyta; Magnoliopsida; Apiales; Araliaceae.
UCCUUUGUCUCUAAUUCAACUAUUGGCAUCCAAUUCACAUAAUAAAAUCAUACACAACCAACUAAUUAUACAAACUAACUAUUUUACUAACUAAUUUUUCGAAAGUUUCAAUUUUCUUUGAUUUCAAUACAUUUAUUACAAAAGAUGUCAAUUCCCAUGGUUACAUUUGCCAAUUUUCAGUCAAGCAAAUUAACACACCAUUUCGAUUUUAUCAUGUAUUUCAUAAAAACAUAAUACAUAUUAUACAUACGUUGAUUGCUUGCUUGAUGCUUGAUUUUAAUUCUAUUAUCCUUUAAAGCUUAAUUCCAGCUGUCCAAUUUAACUCUUGAAGCUUCAAUUUCUUUAUUUAGCCGAACAAAAUGGGAUGGAAUUAGGAACGAAUGGAGUUGAAAUUGGGAGAGGAGGGUGGCGGGUGGGACUUAGACUGGGCAGGGGAGUGGCAGGUGGAACUUUGGCAAGGAAGGGAACGAAAAUGAGAUGGGGUUUUAGAUUUAUAAGGAUUCCUUCCUUGCUUCCCACAAAAUUUUCUCGCUCCCCAAACAUUUUGCUCGCUCAAUACUCCGUCCUUGCUCCUUACGAAAUGAUGGCCAGCUCCGGUUUUCUUUUGUGUGAAGGUUACCCAGCUUGCUUAUUUGUUUCUUAUUUCCCCGACUUUCUUUUUUUAAUUCC